Molecule: ribosomal RNA, 435 nt
Filed under: uncultured bacterium
Lineage: Bacteria
Description: partial 16S ribosomal RNA
Rfam family: Bacterial small subunit ribosomal RNA
Source: RNAcentral
AGCGAACGCUGGCGGCAGGCUUAACACAUGCAAGUCGAGCGGGCACUUUCGGGUGUCAGCGGCGGACGGGUGAGUAACGCGUGGGAACGUGCCCUCUGGUUCGGAAUAACUCAGGGAAACUUGAGCUAAUACCGGAUACGCCCUUUUGGGGAAAGGCUUGCUGCCGGAGGAUCGGCCCGCGUCUGAUUAGCUAGUUGGUGAGGUAACGGCUCACCAAGGCGACGAUCAGUAGCUGGUCUGAGAGGAUGAUCAGCCACACUGGGACUGAGACACGGCCCAGACUCCUACGGGAGGGAGCAGUGGGGAGUAUUGGACGAUGGGCGCGAGCCUGAUCCAGCCAUGCCGCGUGAGUGAUGAAGGCCUUAGGGUUGUAAAGCUCUUUUAUCCGGGACGAUAAUGACGGUACCGGAGGAAUAAGCCCCGGCUAACUUCGUG